This 6883-nucleotide long non-coding RNA is filed under the name Capsicum annuum. RNAcentral's name for it is "long non-coding RNA (CANN_LNC014367)". The record is from RNAcentral. Lineage: Eukaryota; Viridiplantae; Streptophyta; Magnoliopsida; Solanales; Solanaceae.
CCAUACCUUUUGCUAGUAACCAGCGAACUUUACCGAUCCAUGAUCCUCAUCAGGACCCUCUUAAAAAAAGGAAUUUGAGAUACUAAAACCAUCUAAAGGAACCUAACCAACCAAGGACCAUCCAUACACCAACAAAACAUAGAUUAUUAGAUAAAUGGACUCAUUCUAAAGAGCAAGUCCGAAUAGAUUUAGAAUUUACUGAGGUAUAUCACUACGAGAGCUUGCGUCUAACUAUUCACCACCACUUCCAUGUUCAAUCCUAUCCGAAGCUAAGAGGAGUUAACUUAAGCCUAUGGGCACUACUACUCACAUCUAUCCCGAAGCGCUACUCCGCUUCCAUCACAAUUAUAUAGAACCCCUGAGUAAAAGAAAUGGACAAACCAUCCCUAACAAUUAUAAUUGAAAACCAAACCAAUUCAACUACUAAGCCAUGAAGAUAAUUCAUAAAAACCAUGCCUUACCAAACUUCUCAAGUACCCAACACAACUGUGGGUAUAUCUACCAAUCACAUUAUUCAAGCCUACCGCUUACAUACCUGUGGUGAUCUAUCCAUCAAAAAAUCUAACAUCAUUUAAUAUUUCACAAUGGAUUUUCACCACAUACUUCUUUCCUAACCAUUUAUCUUGACAAUAACCUUACUUCACCUUCAAAACUUAACUCUAUUAGCCACCCUAGGAUCUCCCCCACUAAGGGACUUCUACAUUCCCCUUUACAAAACAUCACCAUUCUUUCUAAGACACUACCAUCCUAAGAUAAGGAGAGAGAUUAAGGAACCGAAGUACAAGAAUUAUCCAUGCCUCCUAAGGUAAGACCCCGGAACAAGACAUGACACAAAACCAUACCACAAAAAAGUCCUUAGAAAUGGACACCGAAAGAAACACAACUACCUAUUCCCCAAAUAAUACAAUGUAGAAUCAAGACUCAUAUCCGGGGAACAUGGCGAAUGCAAAAUGAGAACCUUAAGAAUAAGCACUAUAAGAAUGCAUGCCACACUAGUAGGGUACUCUCUUAACUGAGAUAGAAGAGGAUCACUAGAAUAUGCAACCCAACCUUCUUUUGAAUUCCACCGCUAGAAGAAAAGUUUUAGAUUAACUAUCAACCUUCAUCCCAAUGCUAACCAGAGCCCAACAUAGACAUACAAAAACUAUGAGACCAAAUAGACUCAAAGGCUUCCAAUUAAACCAAAACCAUUCAAGAUCAAAACAUAGCAAUCAAGAACUUUUAAAAAAUCAUUUGAAUCAAACCAAAACCAAUUUAUGUCCCUUUAAUCACUUACGCAAUGAAAAGAUUUAAGAAUUGCCAAACAAUGUGACAAAGUUAUAUUCAAUGGAAAUUUCACAAAUAGUUUGAGGACAUAUAAUUUCCAAGACCAAAACCAAGUAACUGGGAAAACCCAUAGUACCCUAAAAUCAAUUUAGCAUACCCAUGCAUCCCACAAGGUUCAAAAACUUUUAGUAAAGCAUGAAUAAAGCAUUAUAACGCAUGGAAAAUCACUUAAAUGAGUAAUCACGUCCAAGACCUCAAUUAUGCCAAAACCUAAUUUCAAAACCAUGAACUUAAUAAUCAAUUUCAUACAAAAAAUAAGAUACAAGUACAGGGACAAGGAUACAUACAAGCUCUAUGAUCUAACCUCUUGAAUAACUAGAUCUCCAGUCCCUCCAUUCAACCUGAACUAUGAGCCUAUAGGGUACAACUCUCCCACUAGUGUAUUUCCCUAAGUCAUCAAACUCUCCCAACCUACCAAUUUACCUCCACAAUUCCUGCAUUGCUAUUUUCGAGCUUACAUACUUUCUUUCCCAUGAUCAAACAUCUAGAUUCAAGCCUAGGAUCUACCAACCACCAUGUACUACUACCAAAGUACCCCAUAUAAAAUGGAAUAUACACAUAACGUCCUCCCCCACUAGAAGGACACCCUAAAUUUCUUAGCCACCCACCGACAUCCUAUCCAUUUCCAAGAAAAACCAUUCCCCUCAUACAUGCAAGGAGAAAACACUCCACAUGUUAUAUUAAGACCAAUAAAACCUUCAUCUAAGAGAUCUAUUAAUUUCUCCUUAAGAUCUUUUAAACCCACUAAAAUCAUUCUAUAAAGAAAGAAUAGAAAUUUUGAUAAUUAUCCAAAACUAGGUCAAUCCCAAACCAACCUCCCCAUUAGAAAUACACCAUUAGGGUCAUCAGAAGAACCCCAAGAAAUUCAUGCACUAUCAAGACCGAGUGUAAGGAGAGACCUUCCAGUUUAGGAUCUUUAACUCAGACCAACUGAUAAUAGAGACACCCUUUUGGAGACCAAUCUUCGAGCUCUAAGAUAGAACAUAACCUUUUAUUUAUUAGCUAGGGAACAAAAUUAUUAUCUCAUUCCAAAAUUGACCCACCAGAGAGCCUAACAAGUCUGAAAAUCUAAUUAAUAAAAAGCACAUGAGCAACUAAUUCAUCCCCUAAAUGAUAUUGAAAUCCACAACAAACGAGUCAAAAAAAUCCACCAUGACUCAUUUAUUACCAACAGAUGCCACACACACCCAUAGACUCUUUUGGCAAUCAAAAAGUCACCUACUGGGUAAAAAUAGAAGAAGAAAAAAGUCCUAAACAACCUUGAGACCAAGACUAGAAUACACAACCAUAAAUGGGCACAUAAAAGAUAGAGGACACCAAACCAAGUAAACCACGUUGGAGACAAAGUUAGCACCCUGGCAUAAGAGCUAGAAAAGUAGCAACCAAUAUCCUAUUUUCCCAAGCAGCAAUUCUUAUGGGACACUCCCUUUUAACUAGGAAACCAUGACUCCUUACCUUGCUUAUUUCCAACCUCACCUCAUUCCUCCCUGUACUAAUAGGACGGGACUAGCAUGAUAGAGUUGUCACUCUUUGGGUCAAUAAUUUAAUAGAAUAUCGAAGCUAGACCUUGGUAACCUCCCCUUGAUCUAACCGAGAAUGAAUGCCACGUAUCGAGAUAGGGUUAGUGGAGACUGGUGGGACUCCACAGAAAAAACCAGAAGCUGCAACCCUUGACCAGGUUUGUGCCCCAUGAGUUGGACUAGAUUCAUCCAUGUUCUCCUCUAGUAGGAUAGGUAAGUUUCCAAAAAUUGUAGAUCAUUAAGAAAACAUGAUCUGAAAAGUGAACCAAAGAAGAUUCAGAGAAGAGUUCAAGACCUCAAACUCCAUAGCUGGAAAGAAGAAUAACCAAGAAAGUAAAACAUCCUAAAUGCCUUAUAGCUUCCUGAUUACAAGUGUGGUACAGGAUCUACCCAUAAGGAAGACUCUACUUGACACGACUUUACGGACACUGCAUGAAACCAAAACCUAAAGCUCUGAUACCAAUUUAAUAUGACCCAAACCAGGGCCUUAUCGUAAUGGGCAAUCCCAAGUCUAACCAGGACCAGGAAUCUCCCUAGUUACCCAACCACCAAACGCAUACCUUGAGUAAGAUAAAGUCCAAACAUAUAAUAAAAUAGUGUAUCCAACCAUGUAGAGACUCUAGGAUAAGUCUAUAAUUGAGACCGACCAAAAUAUGUCCAACCAUCCAAUAUCUUACCAAACUAAUACGAAAACAGUAAAUAAAUACUAGGGUAAUAAGACAAUGUAAGUAUACAUAUGCAUAACAUAAACAAACCAUACCAUACCAUAACCAAGUCUACAGUUGUCCAUACAAAGCCUCUAGACCAACCAAAGAGUACCUAGUCGGGACAUACCCCCAAUCAAAGCCAAAAACCACAGUCUAUGAAAGAAAAGAAAUAGCCAAGUCUACGGUUGUCCGUACAAAGCCUAUAGAUCAACCAAAGAGUUUCCAGUUUUGGUCCCCCCGGGACCUCUACCUUUCACGGCUUUACUACACAUCCCGCCAUUAUUGCCAAAUUAAAACCAAGUUCCAAAUAAUCAAAACAUUAUUGAUUUAUUAACCAAGGCCAUUGAUAAUGGUAUCGUCAUACCUAUCCUUACUUGCAAGUAUCAUCCAUAGCCAACCAUUUAUAGGUUUAAAGGGACUUUCAAGUGCCCUUCCAUGCACCAUAUUAAACCUCUUAGGGGACUUCCAUGCUCCCCACAAGCAUAACCAAUUAACCUUUAGCAUUUCCAAACUAUUUAAACCAAUUCCAUUAAUGCAUAACUUGAGGGAUCUCUAUGUAUCCCGUAAGGUUUUCAAAAUAGACCAACCAUGACCACCAAAUCCUUUACCUUCUAAACCAUUCCAAGCCAUUUUAAAUCAUGCCAAAUAUUUAAAGAAUUUACAUCAUUUAAACUAUGCAAAACCAUAAAAAACCAUUUAGAGUUCCAUUACCAAACGAAACCAUGCAAAAGUUCCAAUGAAAGUUCAACAAUAGAGUAAGAACAUUCUUUGAGUCAUUUUAUCAAACAUGUUAAGGGCAUACCUUUACAAAGACCAAAACCAAAGCAUAAACUACCAUAACCAAUCAAUAACAACAUAUGCAAACCUUUACCAUAAAUAUGUGAAAACAUAGUUUAAGCCAAUACCAAACCCUAUGCAUUAAAACCCUCAAUAAUAUUUUGAAAUCCACCAUUAAUGGUUCAUGAAUAUACCUUUAUUUGAAAUAACAAUAAGGGAAGGAGUACAUUCCUUAUAUAAAAUGAUUCACAGAAGAAAUCUUGACCUUUGAUCCCUUUGAAGAACACAUGAAGAAACCCUAGCCUCCAAUCUUCAAGAGAGUGUUUGAAAGAGUAUUGGAUGUGUUUUAAUCUAUUAAUAAGAGUUAUUGAAGGCCAUAUAGGGUUAUAAAACAUAAGGACAUAAGGUUUUAGGAGUAGGAAAUGUCCAAAGAACCCCUGACUUUAAAAAAAACAUGCCACGUCCUACGGUACGAGUUGUACUCCAACUCAUACCCAAAACAUUCCAUGAUCUUUCCUGUUGGUUUCUAUAUGACUCACACCCCCUUAAAUAGUACCUAAGGGUAAAAGUGACACCCCCAAUCAUACCCACUUCUCGUAUGUUGGGCAGAUUCCACAAGAUAACUCAUACAUGCACCAUACGACUUGCCAUGCACCACUCAUAUGUUCCUAUAUGACUCUUACCUAGUUGAGUCAUAUCUUUGGCAUUAUCCAACACCAACAUACUACCUAGGGUAUGAUUGAACCCACACAACAGCCCACAAGUCGUACUCAAGGGUACGAAUCAUAACUUUGAGUCUUACAAAGUUAAAAAGAUCUAAAACUUGAGAAAUUUUGCAAUGGUCCAAAUUCUAGGGUGUUUCAGUCUCUCCCACUAGGAUCAUUCAUCCUCCAAUGAAGGGUAAGUGUAAGGAUAAUCGCGAGGUAACACAUUAACACACAUCAAACUUCCCCUCCCCAAUUGAAAUACAGGACAAGAACACAAACCAAGAUGAGAAGAUCAUCACAUACCCCAAGCACGACUUACACCCCAACACCCUCUAACUAAGUUAGGAAACAAAGAUGCAAGAGGAACCAUUCGUCACCUUUAACCAAGUUAGAAAACAAGGAUGUGUUGAAGAACACACAUCUAAUGCAUGAAUUUUCUAGAACAAGAAACAAAUAUGGAUCCUUGGACUCCAUGUCACCUCCGCAUCCCAAAUGACUUUUCGAACUUUUAGCUCCCACCUCCCGCAGAACCUUUACCAAAGCCAUACCUUUAAUUAGUAACCGAAGAACUUUACCAAUACAUGAUCCUCAUUAGGACCCUCUUAAAGAACAAGGAACUUGAGAUACUAAAACCAUCUAAAGGAACCUAACCAACCAAGGACCAUCCAUACACCAACAAAACAUAGAUUAUUAGAUAAAUGGACUCAUUCUAAAGAGCAAGUCCGAAUAGAUUUAGAAUUUACUGAGGUAUAUCACUACGAGAGCUUGCGUCUAACUAUUCACCACCACUUCCAUGUUCAAUCCUAUCCGAAGCUAAGAGGAGUUAACUUAAGCCUAUGGGCACUACUACUCACAUCUAUCCCGAAGCGCUACUCCGCUUCCAUCACAAUUAUAUAGAACCCCUGAGUAAAAGAAAUGGACAAACCAUCCCUAACAAUUAUAAUUGAAAACCAAACCAAUUCAACUACUAAGCCAUGAAGAUAAUUCAUAAAAACCAUGCCUUACCAAACCUCUCAAGUACCCAACACAACUAUGGGUAAAUCUACCAAUCACAACAUUCAAGCCUACCGCAUACAUACCCGUAGUGAUCUAUCCAUCAAAAGAUCUAACAUCGUUUAAUAUUUCACAAUGGAUUUUCACCACAUAUUCCUUUCCUAACCAUUUAUCUUGACAAUAACCUUACCUCACCUUCAAACCUUAACUUUAUUAGCCACCCUAGGAUCUCCCCCACUUAGGGACUUCUACAUUCCCCUUUACAAAACGUCACCAUUCUUUACUCUACCAUCCUAACAUAAGGAGAGUCGUGAAGGAACCAAAGUACAAGAAUUAUGAACAAGCCACGACACCAAAGGCACGAAAUACUUAAUAACAACCACCUAGAUCAUAAUGAAAAACCUUCCUGGCAGAACCAUACCACAAAAAAGAGUCCUUAGAAAUGGACACCGAAAGAAACACAACCACCUAUACCCCAAAUAAUCUAAUUUAGAAUCAAGAAUCAUAUCCGUGGAACAUGGAGAAUGCAAAAUGAGAACCUUAAGAAUAAGCACUAUAAGAAUGCAUGCCACAAUAGUAGGGUACUCUCUUAACCGAGAUAGAAGAGGAUCACUAGAAUAUGCAACCUUACCUUCCUUUGAAUUUCACCGCUAGAAGAAAAGUUUUAGAUUAACUACCAACCUUCAUCCUAAUGCUAACUAGAGCCCAACAUAGACAUGCAAAAACUAUGAGACCAAAUGGACUCAAAGGCUUCCAAUUAAACCAAAACCAUUCAAGAUCAAAACAUAGCAAUCAAUACAUUUUAAAAAAUCUUUUGAAUCUAACCAAAACCAAUUUAUGUCCCUUUAAUCAC